GAUGAACGCUGGCGGCGUGCCUAAUACAUGCAAGUAGAACGCUGAAGGAGGAGCUUGCUCUUCUGGAUGAGUUGCGAACGGGUGAGUAACGCGUAGGUAACCUGCCUGGUAGCGGGGGAUAACUAUUGGAAACGAUAGCUAAUACCGCAUGACAACAGUUAUUGCAUGAUAACUGUUUAAAAGGGGCAACUGCUCCACUACCAGAUGGACCUGCGUUGUAUUAGCUAGUUGGUGAGGUAACGGCUCACCAAGGCGACGAUACAUAGCCGACCUGAGAGGGUGAUCGGCCACACUGGGACUGAGACACGGCCCAGACUCCUACGGGAGGCAGCAGUAGGGAAUCUUCGGCAAUGGACGGAAGUCUGACCGAGCAACGCCGCGUGAGUGAAGAAGGUUUUCGGAUCGUAAAGCUCUGUUGUAGAGAAGAACGAGUGUGAGAGUGGAAAGUUCACACUGUGACGGUAUCUGACCAGAAAGGGACGGCUAACUACGUG
Molecule: ribosomal RNA, 494 nt
Filed under: uncultured bacterium
Lineage: Bacteria
Description: partial 16S ribosomal RNA
Rfam family: Bacterial small subunit ribosomal RNA
Source: RNAcentral